AGCGGGGAUCGGCUGGGCGGCAUCGAGCCCACGGCGGCGUUUUCAGGGCCGAACAAAGCGAUGUUGACGACCCGAGUUUGGGUGUCACGUAUUAUUGUGUAGGCGGACGGACUCUAGGACCCUGGGAAGGCCCACGCUGAGACGUCUCCGGAGGGAGACGGGAGGACAGGGCAACAAAGCAGCGAGCAUUGUGGGAAAUGUACUCCAGGUAAAUCCUGGUUCAUCUCGUGGCCUCCGUCGGGCGGGAGGAGUUACCGCUGUCCUCUGGCACCCUGAUUACCCACAAUGCACCUCGAGGUAACAAUGUGGCGAGGAACGAGGCCGAGUGAACAUGAGGGCAGCAGAGGGGAGGAAGAGGCGAGAGGGAGACUCUUCGGCACCUGGAGGUGGUCGACGACCCGAGCUAAUGAGAGAGCAUCGUGCUCUGCAGGAGGGGGAGGAGCCUGGAGGCCUCCAGGAGGGAAAUAAACAAACUGUCGCGGAGCAGAUCGGAAGUACGUCUGUUGCCACGGUAACCGAUAAACAGCUGAGGUCCAAACUCCACGUGCCUCUGAAACACAAUCCACCGUGUGCGUGAUGCUUCUGGUCACCCGACCAGAUAAAUCCUAAUAAAAGAAGGGAAGCUUGAAUCACCCCCCCCCCCCCUCCCCCCCAAGGUCUUUCUUUUCUGGCCUCUGAACAAUCCGAGGCUCUGGGUUUCAACGCCGACCUCCAACGCCUGUACGCCGCGGUGGUCGCCCGCGGCAACGCUCGGAAACGCAAACUGUCCGAGGAGCAGCAGACAGCCGCCGUGGCCCCGUGUUUAGGUGGAUCCGUCUCCAGUGAAGCAGGUGAAGGCGGGAAGGAGCAGGCUGCUGCAUCCAAGAUGGCCGACAGACCCGGCGCACAUCAGUCUGUCCCCGUCCUGUCCAAUCCGCCCGCACGCCCGUCCUCCAAACCAAAGAAGAAGAAAGCAGUGGGCCUGUUCCGGUGACCUCCUCCUGUCUGAAGGGUGUGCUCCUUUUAACCAAGUUUUACUUUUGACAAAAUGACUUUGAUUAUGGCUCAACUUUUAGAUUAAAAAUGCUUUUAAAGUCUUAAUUAAACGUGUUUCAUUUUUGA
Molecule: long non-coding RNA, 1101 nt
Organism: Gasterosteus aculeatus aculeatus (three-spined stickleback)
Lineage: Eukaryota; Metazoa; Chordata; Actinopteri; Perciformes; Gasterosteidae
Source: Ensembl